This 301-nucleotide ribosomal RNA is filed under the name uncultured bacterium. RNAcentral describes it as "partial 16S ribosomal RNA". It matches the Rfam family "Bacterial small subunit ribosomal RNA", at positions 509 to 807 of the family's 1533-position model. The record is from RNAcentral.
CAGUCGCCGCGGGAAUACGUAGGUGGCAAGCGUUGUCCGGAAUUAUUGGGCGUAAAGGGCUCGCGGGCGGUUUCUUAAGUCUGAUGUGAAAGCCCCCGGCUCAACCGGGGAGGGUCAUUGGAAACUGGGAAACUUGAGUGAAGAAGAGGAGAGUGGAAUUCCACGUGUAGCGGUGAAAUGCGUAGAGAUGUGGAGGAACACCAGUGGCGAAGGCGACUCUCUGGUCUGUAACUGACGCUGAGGAGCGAAAGCGUGGGGAGCGAACAGGAUUAGAUACCCCAGUAGUCCCUGUCUCUUAUAC